Molecule: ribosomal RNA, 201 nt
Filed under: uncultured Lactobacillus sp.
Lineage: Bacteria; Bacillati; Bacillota; Bacilli; Lactobacillales; Lactobacillaceae
Description: partial 16S ribosomal RNA
Rfam family: Bacterial small subunit ribosomal RNA
Source: RNAcentral
UGCUAAUACCGGAUAACAACAGAUGAUGCCUAUCAACUGUUUAAAAGAUGGUUCUGCUAUCACUCUUGGAUGGACCUGCGGUGCAUUAGCUAGUUGGUAGGGUAACGGCCUACCAAGGCGAUGAUGCAUAGCCGAGUUGAGAGGCUGAUCGGCCACAUUGGGACUGAGACACGGCCCAAACUCCUACGGGAGGCAGCAGUA